Molecule: long non-coding RNA, 513 nt
Organism: Herpailurus yagouaroundi (jaguarundi)
Lineage: Eukaryota; Metazoa; Chordata; Mammalia; Carnivora; Felidae
Exons: 2
Source: RefSeq, a predicted model, not a curated record
CCCCCUCCUCCCCUCCAUCCUCCCUGCCACAGGAGCUACGGUGAGCUCCUUCGGCGGCCACCUUGGGUGGCUGAGAGUUAUCCCGUCCCCGUGGCCUGUCUGGCCGCCGACAGGAACAGUGGAGAAGGAGUAAGAGUAAAACAGCACCGCCCGCUCCCGUGCAUGGAGCCCUUCCCGGGCACCGGGAGCUAUGAGGCCAGCAUCUUCGCUACGCCCAUUUUGCAGAUGGACAGACUGAGGCUUCAAGUCCCACAUCCGGCGUGUGACCCUCCCAGGUGCCUGCCACGCUUCCGCCCCACCCCAGCCUCCACCUGGAGGAACCCGCCAAGGUUCUCCCCCGAGGGUCACCGGUGAGCCCCCAAACUCCAGACCUGCAGGGAGCUGCACCUGCUGCUUUUUCUGCUGGUGGCCUGGGAACGUCAGGAGAGAACUCAGGAGCCAGGGAAGGCUUCUGGGAGGCCCCCCAAGACCCUAGGAAUUUGGGGUGAAGACUAAAGCACAGGCAGGACUGUG